GUGCUCGCUUCGGCAGCACAUAUACUAAAAUUGGAACAAUACAGAGAUUAGCAUGGCCCUGUCAAGGAUGACAUGCAAAUUCGUAAAGCGUUCCAUAUUUUA
Molecule: small nuclear RNA, 102 nt
Filed under: Vicugna pacos (alpaca)
Lineage: Eukaryota; Metazoa; Chordata; Mammalia; Artiodactyla; Camelidae
Source: RNAcentral